AUUGAACGCUGGCGGCAGGCUUAACACAUGCAAGUCGAGCGGAGAUGAGGUGCUUGCACCUUAUCUUAGCGGCGGACGGGUGAGUAAUGCUUAGGAAUCUGCCUAUUAGUGGGGGACAACAUUCCGAAAGGAAUGCUAAUACCGCAUACGUCCUACGGGAGAAAGCAGGGGAUCUUUGGACCUUGCGCUAAUAGAUGAGCCUAAGUCGGAUUAGCUAGUUGGUGGGGUAAAGGCCUACCAAGGCGACGAUCUGUAGCGGGUCUGAGAGGAUGAUCCGCCACACUGGGACUGGGACACGGCCCAGACUCCUACGGGAGGCAGCAGUGGGGAAUAUUGGACAAUGGGGGGAACCCUGAUCCAGCCAUGCCGCGUGUGUGAAGAAGGCCUUAUGGUUGUAAAGCACUUUAAGCGAGGAGGAGGCUACUGAGACUAAUACUCUUGGAUAGUGGACGUUACUCGCAGAAUAGGCACCGGCUAACUCUGUGCCAGCCGCCGCAGUAA
RNAcentral lists this ribosomal RNA (501 nucleotides) under uncultured bacterium. RNAcentral's name for it is "partial 16S ribosomal RNA". It matches the Rfam family "Bacterial small subunit ribosomal RNA", at positions 30 to 523 of the family's 1533-position model. The record is from RNAcentral.